RNAcentral lists this ribosomal RNA (227 nucleotides) under uncultured bacterium. Its description in RNAcentral is "partial 16S ribosomal RNA". It matches the Rfam family "Bacterial small subunit ribosomal RNA", at positions 107 to 334 of the family's 1533-position model. The record is from RNAcentral.
UGAGUAACACGUGUCCAACCUGCCGUCUACUCUUGGACAGCCUUCUGAAAGGAAGAUUAAUACAAGAUGGCAUCAUGAGUCCACAUGUUCACAUGAUUAAAGGUAUUCCGGUAGACGAUGGGGAUGCGUUCCAUUAGAUAGUAGGCGGGGUAACGGCCCACCUAGUCUUCGAUGGAUAGGGGUUCUGAGAGGAAGGUCCCCCACAUUGGAACUGAGACACGGUCCAA